Nicotiana attenuata is the source of this 546-nucleotide long non-coding RNA. RefSeq lists it as uncharacterized. The transcript has 2 exons. The record is from RefSeq and is a predicted model, not a curated record. NCBI's taxonomy places the organism in Eukaryota, Viridiplantae, Streptophyta, Magnoliopsida, Solanales, Solanaceae.
AAUUACGCUCUUAAGGAAAUAAUAAAAUGCAGACACUCGAAACACUAUUUCCUAAUAUGGUGUUGUUUAAGCUUGGUUUCACUCUCACUGUUCUUCUCAUGGCAACCACAAUGAACGUGCUAUGGUUCUCAAAGACGAAUGUGCUCGCUUGGAAUGUUGAGCAUGAUUUAUCAAGAGUUGAAAGGCGUCUACUCCCUCAACUUAAUGAUAUUUUAACUUGUGGGAAAGAUUGUCAAACCAACAACGACUGCAGUGAUUGUUGGAUUUGCUGUAAGUGUGAUGUGCUUCUUCGUUGCGACGUAGUUACUGGGUAAAGUCUGUGCAAAUUGCACAUUAUUGUUCAAAUGUGACGAACUCAGUGUGAUUCAGUGUUUUUUUUUUUUUUUUUUUCAUUUCAAUGUUUCCUUGUCUUUUAGAUUUUGUACGAAUAAAGAAGAAAGUCAAGUGAAUAACUUUCUAUUUGGAAAUGUGAAAAGAUUAACCGGCGUGGUGAAUUUUAGUACUUUGUAUCUGUUUAUAAUUUUCAAGCAUUUACCAAUUUAUUUA